CAGUAAUGCCAGCUACCUGAGGGCAGCCCGGGCAGGGAACCUAGAGAAGGCUUUGGAUUACCUGAAGACUGGGGUCGAAAUCAACAUCUGUAACCAGAAUGGCCUCAACGCCCUCCAUCUUGCCUCUAAAGAAGGCCAUGUGGAGGUGGUUACAGAACUCAUCAAGCUGGGAGCCAAUGUGGACGCAGCAACUAAGAAAGGGAACACAGCUCUCCACAUAGCGUCUCUGGCUGGUCAGGUGGAUGUAGUGAAGGAGCUGGUGACCAACGGAGCUAACAUCAACGCACAGU
This is a long non-coding RNA of Coregonus clupeaformis (lake whitefish), 290 nucleotides long. RefSeq lists it as uncharacterized. The transcript has 3 exons. The record is from RefSeq and is a predicted model, not a curated record. Lineage: Eukaryota; Metazoa; Chordata; Actinopteri; Salmoniformes; Salmonidae.